This 495-nucleotide ribosomal RNA is filed under the name uncultured bacterium. RNAcentral describes it as "bacterial SSU rRNA". It matches the Rfam family "Bacterial small subunit ribosomal RNA", at positions 28 to 524 of the family's 1533-position model. The record is from RNAcentral.
GAUGAACGCUAGCGGGAGGCCUAACACAUGCAAGCCGAGCGGUAGAGAUUCUUCGGAAUCUUGAGAGCGGCGUACGGGUGCGGAACACGUGUGCAACCUACCUUUAUCUGGAGGAUAGCCUUUCGAAAGGAAGAUUAAUACUCCAUAAUAUAUUGAUUGGCAUCAAUUGAUAUUGAAAGCUCCGGCGGAUAGAGAUGGGCACGCGCAAGAUUAGUUAGUUGGUGAGGUAACGGCUCACCAAGACGAUGAUCUUUAGGGGCCUGAGAGGGUGAUCCCCCACACUGGUACUGAGACACGGACCAGACUCCUACGGGAGGCAGCAGUGAGGAAUAUUGGUCAAUGGGUGCAAGCCUGGACCAGCCAUCCCGCGUGAAGGACGACUGCCCUAUGGGUUGUAAACUUCUUUUGUAUAGGGAUAAACCUACCCUCGUGAGGGUAGCUGAAGGUACUAUACGAAUAAGCACCGGCUAACUCAGUGCCAGCAGCCGCGGUAAU